Molecule: non-coding RNA, 2768 nt
Organism: Rattus norvegicus (Norway rat)
Lineage: Eukaryota; Metazoa; Chordata; Mammalia; Rodentia; Muridae
Source: RefSeq, a predicted model, not a curated record
CUUCACAAGGGUAGACACAAGAGAGGAAGUGUAUCAUCCUGUGGACGUGUUUUCUAGUUUCUGUACCUAAAAUAUAUUUUUCCCAGCCGGUGCUGAAGUUCUGAAGUGCAAUAAGUAAGUCUCAGACAACUUCCUACAUCCCAGAGCACCAUCCCUCAUACAACCCAGCAUCCUCCUUCGCGGGCAGCUUGUAGCAUUGCAUUUUAGCCUUAGUUCUAUCAGUUAGGUAUUGAUUAACCACGCGGGUAACCGAGCAAAUGGGGAGAGGGGCUUACUGCACACCAGGCGAAACCGUACCUUCCCUCUGGCUCUGUCUGUGCCUGCUGUGCGCCAUAUUAUGACUAGCACUGCAGAGCCUAGACGCUCUAAACCGUGGGCUUCCCAGAGGGGCAGCUUUGCGGGGCUGAACACAGGAUCGACAUUUCUCUCGGGAAACGUUCGGCGGCCUGCCUGAAGUUCUGGGAUAAUGGGACCAGAGCAAUAUUGCUCAAGUCUCCUUUCAGCUCUCAGCUGCUGUCCCAGUCACUCCCUGAGUCAUACCUCUCCACAGCAUGACACCACGUGACUCUAACUAGUGCUGCCCUGAGGACUGACUGUCACAGCCACCCUAGGGAGCGCCAUGGCUUGGGCCAGGGGAAGAAACCCGGUAGCCAUUCAGUAGAGAGCUCUCACCCACAUCCGGCAGGUGGGGCUUGUGGGGAAAGAGCCCCAGAAUGUUUCCCUGAGCAGCGAUUCCUGUUUGCUGCAGGCUUUGCUCGCCCAAGACCUUGACCAAGAAGUUGAUAUACCUCAUUGCCAAGCGAAGUGUCUCGUUUUUGCUCAGCUUCUUGUCUGGAGGGUGAGUGGGGAUGAGUUUCCUCAGCUUGGCAAAGGCGCUGUUAACACUCUGCUGCCUCCAUCGCUCCCUGGUGUUUGUGAAGAUCUUUCUGGUCAUGUCCGGGUUCCUGCGAUGGGAAAGAAAAGAGGCUUUGGUCGCCAAGACCUUGUAAGAGGCACAGUUAAAAUCGCGUGUUCUCCCAAGAACCUGCCGUGUUAGCUUUUCUCAGCUCAUACUUUCAUACUAAAUGGAUUUUAGGAGAUCCAUUUUGACUAAAAAAUUUUGGAAAUGUCUUUUUUUAAGAAGAAAACAGUUGGAAGAAGAGGAGGCAAAAGACCAGCACACUGUAGCCCUCUCUCCCUGAUUAUUUUGCAGUCACCGUUACAGAACUGCAACUAGUCCUUUCCCUGCACUCGUCAUCCCCCAUCUCCCAUCUUUUUGAGGCGGGAUCCUGUGUAUUCUGGGACAGCCUCAACCUUACUAUAUAGCCAAGGACGAUCUUGAACGUCUGAUUCUCUUGCCUUCACAUCCUGAAGGCUGGGGUUCCAGGCAUGAGUCUCCAUUAUUUUGGUUUAUGCAUGUCGGGGGUUGAACCCAGGGCUUCAUGCAUUACUUCAACUAAGCUACGUCUCCGACCCCACUGCCUCCUUCACGACCCAUCAUCUCUCCCCAUGGACCAAAAUCAUCUACAGUAUAGGAUCGUGCACAUGUGUGACUAAAAUCCAUGCUUAGCCCACGGAGUGUCGGAUGCGAAUGUGCGGUGUAUUGAGCACUUUUAAGAAUGGAGAAAUAAGGGGGCUGGAGAGAUGGCUCGGUGGUUAAGAGCACUGGCUGUUCUUCCAGAGGUCCUGAGUUCAAAUCCCAGCAACCACAUGGUGGCUCACAACCAUCUGUAAUGGAAUCCGAUGCCCUCUUUUGGUGUGUCUGAAGACAGCUACAGUGUACUCAUAUACAAAGUAAAUAAAUAAAUCUUUAAAAAAAAAAGAAUGGAGAAAUAAAAUGAUAUUUGGAUUGGAGAAGAUGGGGCAGCUUCAGCCGACCUCGUAUGGAGAACUGGGCUCCAAACUCCAAUGGCUAGAAUGUUCACAUCUGGAGGACUGUGAGCAGGGUGAGAAAGGGCUGAGAUAAUCAGAUCUCUGAAAGCAGACGUGAGGGUGUUCAGCCUGAGAAGAACGAAAAGGUGCUAGGCAGGCACCUGUGGUCUGUGGCAUGGGCGUCCAGAGGACACCUGGACUUCCUGGCAUUGCCAUCGCUGACCUUUUCCACAUCAGGAAGGAGCAUCGAAAACUGCCAAGUCUCGCUUGCCAUCUUUAACUGUUGGAGGCACAGACCCGCUUCCUCCCUCAUGGAAUAGUGCAUUUUAAUGGGAACCAUCAUGACAGACUGGCAAGUAAAUCAAAGCUCAGCCAUGGGAAGCCUGCUGUUUGUGGUUCACUGCUGACUCCAGCCUUAGCUUCCCAGGACACUCAGCCCUUCUGUCCCCUCCCAAGAGUGAUGCGUAUUGCUAAUUCACUACACCUUUUCAUGCUCUUUCCUCGUUCUUGAAUCUCCUCCUCACAUUCUCCUGUCUCUUUAAAGAACUGCUCCAAAGUGGGCCUGGCAGUGCAGGCCUGCAGACCUAGCUACUUAGGAGGCUAAGGAUUUCAAGCUCAAGGCCUCCUCGAGCUACAGAGUGAGUUAGGCCUUCCUGGGCAAGAGCACUUGCCUGUAGCACACGUGAGGGAGGCCUGAGGUUCAUCUCUAGAGCUGAAAAAGGGACCAGCUCUACCCAGCCUCCUCCUAACCCUGACUGUCUAAGAGUCUUCAUAGCAUAACACAGUACUCUCUGGAGAUGCUAGGAUCAACUGCAGCUGUCAGCUGUGGCAUCCCUGGAGUAAGCAACAGCGCCCGUACUGUGUUGUCAGUGGUUUGAGGACUGGGAUAUUCAAUAAAUUAUAUGUGACAUAUCCUA